AUUGAACGCUGGCGGCAUGCCUAACACAUGCAAGUCGAGCGGAGCGUCGCACGAGUGAUUAAUGCCUAGGAAUCUGCACGGUGGUGAGCUAUAACGUCCAGAAACGGGCGCUAAUACCGCAUACUAGCAGAUGAGCCUAGGUCGGAUUAGCUAGUUGGUGGGGUAAAGGCCUAACAAGGCGACGAUCCGUAACUGGUCUGAGAGGAUGAUCAGUCAAACUGGAACUGAGACACGGUCCAGACUCCUACGGGAGGAAGCAGUGGGGAAUAGUGGACAAUGGGCGAAAGCCUGAUCCAGACAUGCCGCGUGGGUGAAGAAGGUCUUCGGAUUGUAAAGCACUUUAAGUGGGGAGGCGGUACCAACAGAAUAAGCACCGGCUAACUUCGUGCCAGCAGCCGCGGUAAUAC
This 407-nucleotide ribosomal RNA is filed under the name uncultured bacterium. RNAcentral's name for it is "partial 16S ribosomal RNA". It matches the Rfam family "Bacterial small subunit ribosomal RNA", at positions 30 to 526 of the family's 1533-position model. The record is from RNAcentral.